RNAcentral lists this ribosomal RNA (317 nucleotides) under uncultured bacterium. Its description in RNAcentral is "bacterial SSU rRNA". It matches the Rfam family "Bacterial small subunit ribosomal RNA", at positions 30 to 355 of the family's 1533-position model. The record is from RNAcentral.
AUUGAACGCUGGCGGCAUGCCUAACACAUGCAAGCCGAACGGGGUGUAGCAAUACAUCUAGUGGCGGACGGGUGAGGAAUACAUAGGAAUUUGCCCUUAAGUGGGGGAUAGUCCGGGGAAACUCGGUUUAAUACCGCAUGAUCUCGUGAGAGCAAAGCAGGGGACCGCAAGGCCUUGCGCUUUUGGAGAAGCCUAUGUCGGAUUAGCUAGUUGGUAGGGUAAUGGCCUACCAAGGCGACGAUCCGUAACUGGUCUGAGAGGAUGAUCAGUCACACCGGAACUGAGACACGGUCCGGACUCCUACGGGAGGCAGCAGU